This is a long non-coding RNA of Aedes aegypti (yellow fever mosquito), 510 nucleotides long. RefSeq lists it as uncharacterized. The transcript is spliced from 3 exons. The record is from RefSeq and is a predicted model, not a curated record. NCBI's taxonomy places the organism in Eukaryota, Metazoa, Arthropoda, Insecta, Diptera, Culicidae.
UUUAUAUGAAAUGUAAAAUUGACACCGAACCUACCAAUUUUUUUUACUGUGUACGUUUUCGCGGUCGUUGUGCUACUGUCAGAAAUCAGAUCAAAACAAGAAAAAAAAAUUUCGGACAAAAUCCAAACGAAAUGAUCAGAAAAGUUCUCUUUCGAUUCAAAUUUAGGGUUUCGAUUUCGAUUCCAUUAGGGAGGAUGUUGGUGGCUACAGAAUUAACCGAAAUGGCCACUGGCAGUUGUUUACGGUGAUUCUAAGUUUCGGACCUUCGGAGAGCAGGCACCCGAAGUGCCUUUUGUUAACGAAAUCGUCUUCCCUCUACAGCAUACAAAGCCUGAACUUCAGCCCAUAUCAAAGAAGCACGCAUCGUAUGACAUUAUCUAUCCCCGAGAACGUCCUUAUGCAGGCUCACCCUCAACCCGCUCGGAAACAAAAGUGACAAGCCACUGCCGAUGCAACCGGCAAAGAUUGAGUAAGGAAUUUAGUGUACGAAUGAAUGUAUAUUUCUGCGCU